Molecule: transfer RNA, 93 nt
Filed under: Melipona bicolor
Lineage: Eukaryota; Metazoa; Arthropoda; Insecta; Hymenoptera; Apidae
Also listed under: 3 other names
Rfam family: tRNA
About the family: Transfer RNA (tRNA) molecules are approximately 80 nucleotides in length. Their secondary structure includes four short double-helical elements and three loops (D, anti-codon, and T loops).
Source: Rfam by way of RNAcentral
GCUCCAGUGGCGCAAUUGGUUAGCGCACGGUACUUAUAAGACAGUAAGUCGUGAGCAAUGCCGGGGUUGUGAGUUCGAGCCUCACCUGGAGCA